Molecule: long non-coding RNA, 515 nt
Filed under: Panax ginseng (ginseng)
Lineage: Eukaryota; Viridiplantae; Streptophyta; Magnoliopsida; Apiales; Araliaceae
Description: long non-coding RNA (PGIN_LNC010002)
Source: RNAcentral
AUAUACUCAACUUAUAUAUGUAUAACAUAUCCAAAAAUCACAACGAUUCAACGGUCAGAUUAAAAAUUAUAACUCACACAAUAAAGCUGUAAGAACACUAAUUUGAUCUUUUAAUACCUCCAAUCUGACAAAAUACUGAUAAAAUACCUCAACAUUAAUUCCUUCAUUAAUAACCACAUAAAUAAAUCCAUCAUUUAUAUCCACAUCAAAUAAAUAUUUUUUUAUCAUAUGAAUUAAUAAUUAAUUAUUCACAAAUAAUAUUACAGAAUCACAGUUCUGACAACCAGGAAGUUCCCAGGAAAGAGAGGGCUUUCCGAUAAGGAUUUCUCCUUACUGGCGCGCAAUUAGGUGACCAAACCUCUCCUUGACAGAACUUUCUAGACAUUUCCAAUAAUGCUAUCUAAUAAUAUUAUUCAAAUAAUAUGAAUUAUUGAUCUGAUAAUGGAAAAUAUUGUGCAGUGACAAUUAUUGAAACAACAAUAAUAUAAAAUAUCAACGCAGCAAUUAUUGAAUCA